UAAGGAAUAUUGGUCAAUGGGCGCAAGCCUGAACCAGCCAUGCCGCGUGAAGGAUGACGGCCCUAUGGGUUGUAAACUUCUUUUGUACGGGAAAAAACCACCGGUCGUGUAUCGGUGCUGAUGGUACCGUAAGAAUAAGCAUCGGCUAACUCCGUGCCAGCAGCCGCGGUAAUACGGAGGAUGCAAGCGUUAUCCGGAUUCAUUGGGUUUAAAGGGUGCGCAGGCGGAGUGUUAAGUCAGUGGUGAAAUCUCUCGGCUCAACCGGGAAACUGCCAUUGAUACUGACAUUCUUGAGUAUUGUUGAGGUAGGCGGAAUGUGUCAUGUAGCGGUGAAAUGCUUAGAUAUGACACAGAACACCGAUCGCGAAGGCAGCUUACCAAGCAAUAACUGACGCUCAUGCACGAAAGCGUGGGGAUCAAACA
This 423-nucleotide ribosomal RNA is filed under the name uncultured Bacteroidota bacterium. Its description in RNAcentral is "bacterial SSU rRNA". It matches the Rfam family "Bacterial small subunit ribosomal RNA", at positions 355 to 774 of the family's 1533-position model. The record is from RNAcentral. Lineage: Bacteria; Pseudomonadati; Bacteroidota.